CAAGAGGAGCGGCAGACGGGUGAGUAACGCGUGGGAAUCUACCCAUCUCUACGGAACAACUCCGGGAAACUGGAGCUAAUACCGUAUACGUCCUUCGGGAGAAAGAUUUAUCGGAGAUGGAUGAGCCCGCGUUGGAUUAGCUAGUUGGUGGGGUAAUGGCCUACCAAGGCGACGAUCCAUAGCUGGUCUGAGAGGAUGAUCAGCCACAUUGGGACUGAGACACGGCCCAAACUCCUACGGGAGGCAGCAGUGGGGAAUAUUGGACAAUGGGCGAAAGCCUGAUCCAGCCAUGCCGCGUGAGUGAUGAAGGCCCUA
Molecule: ribosomal RNA, 315 nt
Filed under: proteobacterium or09
Lineage: Bacteria; Pseudomonadati; Pseudomonadota
Description: bacterial SSU rRNA
Rfam family: Bacterial small subunit ribosomal RNA
Source: RNAcentral